GGAAGGAACGCUAGGCCCCUAGUUCCCAUGAUGGGAGCCGUUUCCAAGGAUGCAGCCUGGAGAAAGCAGUGUUUGCUGAGACCGUGGGGAGCAUCUACGUGGUGGCAAAACCCAGGAUGUACUUCUGACUAGAAGGAACCUCAUGUUGACAUCACAAACCAAAGUCAAGCUGAAGCUGCCAGUGUAUGUUCUCUGAGUGAGUUUCUUGGAGUUAGGAAGAAAACAAGUGGAGUUCCUGUGCUUUUGAGUCUUCUCACAACAUGACGGAUGAAGGAAGACCGCCUUUGUGUGAUGGAGCAGACGUUGGGCUACCAUGACUCAGUGGCCUGCUCUGUGUCUCAGCGAUGCUAGAAGACUCACGUCUACACAAAAUGAAGCAUAUGGAAACACAGAUGAGAGGCAACAAACCAGAGUCACGUCCUAUUUCCUAUGGACAGCACUUUCUGAAAGCCAGCAACAGGAAUAUCACAUGGGUAUGGAGCUGACAUCGUCAUUGACCCAUUUUGUGGGUAGAGAGACGGAUACACUUUGAAAGACAGAAACUAUUUUUUUCCUAGAAGAGGAUUUAUAGGAUGACAAUAAACUCAGAAGAGAUUCCCCCUUACACAUACUCAUAUGAUUUGUUGGGUCAGAAUUCCGUCAGAUUUUAACUGGCUCCUCUACUGAGUGUCUUAUAGACUUGAAGUCAAGGGGUCAGCCAACUGAGCACCCAUGUGGAGUCCUGACUAAGGCAAAUUAGAGUGUGGACUUCCUGGCUAAUUACCCUUAUCCUGACUCCCAGAGAGCCGACCGCCUUCUCAAUAACUUACAGGAAGUUCCAGAAGCUUCUAUAUGAGCUUUCCUAUCAAAACAGCCUGCAGUCCAGGAAGCUAAUGUAGAAGCCUGUCAGUUGCCAAGGGCAUAUUUUGGCUACGCGUUCAAGAACUGGGAAAGUAAGCAUGUGAAUUUCUGGAUCUUACAGGCUCUAUGAUAUAGACAGAUAUCACAAUGCCAUUUAUUACUACCCUUUAUAAGUUGUGUCACUGGAUCACAGCGACUGCCUACACACCCAGCCAUUAGAUGCCCAGAGCCACAGGCAGAAAAAAAAAAAUAAUCCACAGUUUUCAGAGUUGUUUCCCCCGUCUUCUUCCUUAAGGAAGAAAUAUUUACAGAACUAGUAUGAUUUGCAGGUGUAACAGUUAACUCCUCAAAGUUAUCAGGUUUCUUCUUUAAGAGUCUGUGAGUCCAUGAAAUAAGUUAGGAAUAGAAAUUGGGUGAGAAGUCACAAGUCCCUACCAUGGUUGGUUAUAAAAGUCAGGUAGGACGUGAGUGGGAUGGAUGCCCAUCUGUUUUUGCUGUUCAGGUCCCAUGAUCAGUCAAGCACCGUCAAAUACCUUGCAUUUCACACCAUUCAGAUUACUAUGGCAGACUGCUGCCUCGCAAGACCCCGCCCUUAAUAGCCCUCUGAAAGUUAUACUGUCUGUGUCUCCACACCUCUGCUAUCCUCUCACUCCCAUUCUACCGGGGAGAUCAUAUCAACUGCCCCUUCUCCCACCAGCUACUAAAAUAAUUUUUUAGGAAUGCUUGCACUCCCCUCCCCAGUGUGUUUCCAAAGGCCUUGGGGUAAGGGGACCUUCUAGGUCCUUUGUGAAUCAGAGUUUGCUUGAGUGGAAGACUGAACAAGAAAUUUUCACUCACUUAUUUUAAUCUCCACAGUCUUUGGAUUCCUUCCUCUGGAAUCUACCCCAGUUUUUUGUCAUGUCAGUGCUGUCAUGGGGUGCUAUGGUGUCCGAGUUUUAGCUGCUAAUUCAAUACAUGGGAUCUAGAAUUUUUGGUAAGUGCACCUAUGUGGCUAAAGUCAGCUUAAUCGGGGGCGCCUGGGUGACUCAGACGGUUAAGUGUCCAACUCCUGAUUUUGGCUCAGGUCAUGAUCUCACAGUUCCUGAGUCCCAGCCCUGCAUCAGGCUCUGUGCUGAC
Long non-coding RNA from Felis catus (domestic cat), 1956 nucleotides. RefSeq lists it as uncharacterized. The record is from RefSeq and is a predicted model, not a curated record. The transcript is spliced from 8 exons. NCBI's taxonomy places the organism in Eukaryota, Metazoa, Chordata, Mammalia, Carnivora, Felidae.